UAAAGUGGCGUACGGGUGAGUAACACGUGGAUGAUCUACCUUUUAGUGGGGAAUACCGCUGGGAAACCGGUGACAAUACCGCAUAAUCCCGAGAGGGGAAAGCAGCAAUGCGCUGAAAGAGGAGUCCGCGGUCGAUUAGCUAGUUGGUAAGGUAAUGGCUUACCAAGGCUGUGAUCGAUAGCCGGCCUGAGAGGGCACACGGCCACACUGGCACUGAAACACGGGCCAG
Molecule: ribosomal RNA, 229 nt
Filed under: uncultured bacterium
Lineage: Bacteria
Description: partial 16S ribosomal RNA
Rfam family: Bacterial small subunit ribosomal RNA
Source: RNAcentral